AACUUUGCACAGUGGCAGUAUCAUAUAAAUGAUGUUUAUCUGAGGCAAAACUACUGCUAAUUGAAAACUUUUCCCAAUAUCUCACCAUAAUGAUUUACUAUAUAGUCUCUAAGGAGA
Molecule: small nuclear RNA, 117 nt
Organism: Ictidomys tridecemlineatus (thirteen-lined ground squirrel)
Lineage: Eukaryota; Metazoa; Chordata; Mammalia; Rodentia; Sciuridae
Gene: U4
Rfam family: U4 spliceosomal RNA
About the family: U4 small nuclear RNA (U4 snRNA) is a component of the major U2-dependent spliceosome. The structure of U4 snRNA from yeast and human has been reported.
Source: Ensembl